UACGAAGGGGACUAGCGUUGUUCGGAAUUACUGGGCGUAAAGCGCACGUAGGCGGAUUUGUUAGUCAGGGGUGAAAUCCCGGGGCUCAACCUCGGAACUGCCUUUGAUACUGCAAAUCUCGAGUCCGAUAGAGGUGGGUGGAAUUCCUAGUGUAGAGGUGAAAUUCGUAGAUAUUCGGAAGAACACCAGUGGCGAAGGCGACUCACUGGACACGUAUUGACGCUGAGGUGCGAAAGCGUGGGGAGCAAACAGGG
This 254-nucleotide ribosomal RNA is filed under the name uncultured bacterium. Its description in RNAcentral is "partial 16S ribosomal RNA". It matches the Rfam family "Bacterial small subunit ribosomal RNA", at positions 524 to 777 of the family's 1533-position model. The record is from RNAcentral.